RNAcentral lists this ribosomal RNA (1026 nucleotides) under Targionia hypophylla. Its description in RNAcentral is "eukaryotic LSU rRNA". It matches the Rfam family "Eukaryotic large subunit ribosomal RNA", at positions 47 to 1005 of the family's 3401-position model. Lineage: Eukaryota; Viridiplantae; Streptophyta; Marchantiopsida; Marchantiales; Targioniaceae. The record is from RNAcentral.
UAAGCGGAGGAAAAGAACUAACAAGGAUUCCCCUAGUAGCGGCGAGCGAACCGGGAGAAGCCCAGCUUGAAAAUCGCGCUGUCAUUUAGGCGGCGCGAGUUGUAGUCUGGAGAAGUGUCCUCUGCGGCGGACCUGGCCUAAGUCCCCUGGAAAGGGGCGUCAGAGAGGGUGAGAACCCCGUCGGGCCAGGACCCUGCCGCUCCACGAGGCACUGUCAACGAGUCGGGCUGUUUGGGAAUGCAGCCCUAAGUGGGAGGUAAAUUCCUUCCAAGGCUAAAUACUGGCGGGAGACCGAUAGCAAACAAGUACCGCGAGGGAAAGAUGAAAAGGACUUUGAAAAGAGAGUUAAAGAGUGCUUGAAAUUGCUGGGAGGGAAGCGAAUGGAGCCUGGUGUGCGCCCCGGUCGGAUGCGGAACGGCGUAAGCUGGUCCGCCGCUCGACGCGGGGUGCUGGUCAGCGUGGGCUUCUUUGGCGGGAUAAACGUUGGCGCUGCAAGCUUUAACCGGUUUGCGGCGCCAGCCGAUGCCGUCGGGGAGGCUGAGGAAUGAACCCCUCAUGAAGUGCGCGUUCUUCUUUCGGGAGGGGCGGGGCAUUCUUCUUUCGGGAGGAGUGCCACCUGCGUACUCGGGACGCUGGCGUUGUGGGCUUUUCAUCCGACCCGUCUUGAAACACGGACCAAGGAGUCUAACAUGCAUGCGAGCCGGUGGGCGGCAAACCCACAUGAGGCGCAAAUAACUUGACUGGUGUGAUCCUUUCCCUCUUUCGGGAGGGCGAGGUGCAACAUCGACCGACCAUGAUCUUCUGUGAAAGGUUCGAGUAAGAGCAUGCCUGUUGGGACCCGAAAGAUGGUGAACUAUGCCUGAGCAGGGCGAAGCCAGAGGAAACUCUGGUGGAGGCUCGUAGCGAUACUGACGUGCAAAUCGUUCGUCAGACUUGGGUAUAGGGGCGAAAGACUAAUCGAACCAUCUAGUAGCUGGUUCCCUCCGAAGUUUCCCUCAGGAUAGCCGGAGCAUGAGGAGUUUCAUC